RNAcentral lists this ribosomal RNA (499 nucleotides) under uncultured bacterium. Its description in RNAcentral is "partial 16S ribosomal RNA". It matches the Rfam family "Bacterial small subunit ribosomal RNA", at positions 28 to 507 of the family's 1533-position model. The record is from RNAcentral.
GAUGAACGCUGGCGGCGUGCCUAAUACAUGCAAGUCGAGCGAACAGACGGGAGUGCUUGCACUCUCUGACGUUAGCGGCGGACGGGUGAGUAACACGUGGGUAACCUACCUAUAAGACUGGGAUAACUUCGGGAAACCGGAGCUAAUACCGGAUAAUAUUUAGCUUCGCAUGAAGCAAUAGUGAAAGACGGUUCUGCUGUCACUUAUAGAUGGACCCGCGGUGUAUUAGCUAGUUGGUGAGGUAACGGCUCACCAAGGCAACGAUACAUAGCCGACCUGAGAGGGUGAUCGGCCACACUGGGACUGAGACACGGCCCAGACUCCUACGGGAGGCAGCAGUAGGGAAUCUUCCGCAAUGGACGGAAGUCUGACGGAGCAAUGCCGCGUGAGUGAAGAAGGUUUUCGGAUCGUAAAACUCUGUUGUAAGGGAAGAACAAGUACGUUAGUAACUGAACGUACCUUGACGGUACCUUACCAGAAAGCCACGGCUAACUACGUG